GACCAAGUGUUGUUACUUUGAAGCCGAUCCAUAAUCCAAGAUGGCCGCCAGCGGAGGACUUAGUUUAACAUUGGACCCUAUGGGAAAUACAUACAAAUGUCUUCUUUUAGAGAACCACUGAAUGGAAUGAAACCAAACAUGGCAUGAAUGUUCCUUAUGAGGUGCUGACCAAGUGUUGUUACUAUGAAGCCAAUUCAUAAUCCAAGAUGGCCGCCAGCAGGGGACUUAGUUUAACAUUGGACCCAAUGGGAAAUACAUACAAAUGUCUUCUUUUAGAGAACCACUGAAUGGAAUAAAACCAAACAUGGCAUUAAUGUUUCUUAUGAGGUGCUGACCGAGUGUUGUUACUUUGAAGACGAUCCAUAAUCCAAGAUGGCCGCCAGCAGGGGACUUAGUUUAACAUGGGACCCUAUGAGAAAUACAUACAAAUGUCUUCUUUUAGAGAACCACUGAAUGGAAUGAAACCAAACAUGGCAUGAAUGUUCCUUAUGAGGUGCUGACCGAGUGUUGUUACUUUGAAGCGGAUCCAUCAUCCAAGAUGGCCGCCAGCGGGGGACUUAGUUUAACAUAGGACCUUAUGGGAAAUACAUACAAAUGUCUUCUUUUAGAGAACCACUGAAUGGAAUGAAACCAGACAUGGCAUGAAUGUUCCUUAUGAGGUGCUGACUAAGUGUUGUUACUAUGAAGCCGAUCCAUAAUCCAAGAUGGCCGCCAGCAGGGGACUUAGUUUAACAUUGGACCCUAUGGGAAAUACAUACAAAUGUCUUCUUUUAGAGAACCACUGAAUGGAAUGAAACCAAACAUGGCAUUAAUGUUUCUUAUGAGGUGCUGACCGAGUGUUGUUACUUUGAAGCCGAUCCAUAAUCCAAGAUGGCCGCCAGCGGGGGACUUAAUUUAACAUAGGACCCUUUGGGAAAUACAUACAAACGUCUUCUUUUAAAGAACCACUGAAUGGAAUGAAACCAAACAUGGCAUGAAUGUUCCUUAUGAGGUGCUGACAAAGUGUUGUUACUUUGAAGCUGAUCCAUCAUCCAAGAUGGCCGCCAGCGGGAGACUUAGUUUAACAUAGGAGCCUAUGAGAAAUACAUACAAAUGUCUUCUUUUAGAGAACCACUGAAUGGAAUGAAACCAAACAUGGCAUUAAUGUUUCUUAUGAGGUGCUGACCGAGUGAUGUUACUUUGAAGCCGAUCCAUAAUCCAAGAUGGCCGCCAGCAGGGGACUUAGUUUAACAUGGGACCCUAUGGGAAAUACAUACAAAUGUCUUCUUUUAGAGAACCACUGAAUGGAAUGAAACCAAACAUGGCAUGAAUGUUCCUUAUGAGGUGCUGACCGAGUGUUGUUACUUUGAAGCCGAUCCAUAAUCCAAGAUGGCCGCCAGCGGGGGACUUAAUUUAACAUAGGACCCUUUGGGAAAUACAUACAAACGUCUUCUUUUAAAGAACCACUGAAUGGAAUGAAACCAAACAUGGCAUGAAUGUUCCUUAUGAGGUGCUGACCAAGUGUUGUUACUAUGAAGCCGAUCCAUAAUCUAAGAUGGCCGCCAGCGGAGGACUUAGUUUAACAUAGGACCCUAUGAGAAAUACAUAGAAAUGUCUUCUUUUAGAGAACCACUGAAUGCAAUGAAACCAAACAUAGCAUGAAUGUUCCUUAUGAGGUGCUGACCAAGUGUUGUUACUAUGAAGCCGAUCCAUAAUCUAAGAUGGCCGCCAGCGGAGGACUUAGUUUAACAUAGGACCCUAUGAGAAAUACAUACAAAUGUUUUCUUUUAGAGAACCAUUGAAUGGAAUGAAACCAAACAUGGCAUGCAUAUUCCUUUUGAGGUGCUGACCAAGUGUUGUUACUUUGAAGCUGAUCCUUCAUCCAUGAUGGCCGCCAGAUUGGGACAAUGUUUAACAAAGGACCCUAUGGACAAUACAUACAAAUGACUUCUUUUAGAGAACCACAUACUGAAUGGAUUGAAACCAAACAUGGCAAGAAUGUUCCUUAUGAGGUGCUGACUAAGUUUUGUUACUUUGAAGCUGAUCCUUCAUCCAUGAUGGCCGCCAAUGGGGGACUUCCUUUAACAUAAGACCCUAUGGGAAAUACAUACAAAUGCUUCUUCUAGAGGUGCACUGAAUGGAAUGAAACCAAAACAUGGCAUAAAUGUUUCUUAUGAGGUGCUGAUGAAGUGUUGCUACUUUGUUGCCGAUUUACUGUUCAAGAUGGCCACCAGGAUUUUUUAUUAAAUUACAGGACCAAUAUUAAACCAAAUUUGGCCUCACUCAUUAUUAGGGUAUCUGUUAUGAUUUUAAUCUAUUUUUACAUGAUUUCCAAAACCAAAGUAGAAUCAGGUGAGCGACACAGGCUCUUGAGAGCCUCU
This is a long non-coding RNA of Mytilus californianus (California mussel), 2360 nucleotides long. RefSeq lists it as uncharacterized. NCBI's taxonomy places the organism in Eukaryota, Metazoa, Mollusca, Bivalvia, Mytilida, Mytilidae. The transcript has 3 exons. The record is from RefSeq and is a predicted model, not a curated record.